This 1553-nucleotide unclassified non-coding RNA is filed under the name Leishmania donovani. Its description in RNAcentral is "gene:unknown". Lineage: Eukaryota; Euglenozoa; Kinetoplastea; Trypanosomatida; Trypanosomatidae. The record is from RNAcentral.
UGAGCACCUCGCGGCGCCCACGCGCCGCUUUCUUUUCGUUGUCAUGUGUGGCACUGAGCCUCUCGGACUACCCGACGUGCCCGUGGUGCGGAUGGCGCGAGGGCCCCAGUCAUGUGCACCUACAUGCAUGCCAACGAUGGGAAUAUCAUGACAGGACGUGCACGCGCGCGCACACACACACACAAACGCUGAGCCCUCUUCCUACCCUCUCUUGCGUCCCUCCGACCUGCGCGUGUCUUUUUUUCUAGAGCCGGUUGGGGCACGGGUGGGCCACCUCUUCGCUCCCCCUAAUCGUCUCAGCAUCCAAGAAACCCUCUCUGAGUAAGCGGCAGGACCCCUCUAUCAUGUUUGCAACACCUUCCCCUGCGCCGCCCUCUAGCGCCCCCCCCGCCACCGCUAACGCGACGGAGUCUACUCGUGACACUUUUCCUACGGCUGGUGUGUUCCCUCCAGGCGCUCAUCUUUGCGAAUUCUCUUCCUGCAACGCUACCGCUUACCGACUGCCCUACGCGUUUGCGGAGGCGCGUCUCAUCUCAGAGGCAGAGGCACAGGUCCGCUGCAGCCAUAUCGUCUUCUUCCGCUUGUGUGGAUCUGGCUGGAUGGUGCGUCUACUUCCUGCACGAUGUGGAUGCGCCGGCCUGCUCACAGCUGCAGCACAGCAUCCUCGACACGCUAGCGAAAAGAUGCCAUACUCCUCGCCAAAGCUGGUUUUAUAGGUCACAGAUGUAUCCGACGCACGCACGAGUACGACGUGUUUGUGGCGGAAGUAGCAGCGUCUCUGGCGGCGAACUUCUUGUAUCUGACCAGGUCCAGCGUCAUUCUGGGUGCGGUGCGCCGGCGCACUUUGCGCAGCAGUUGUAGCGUCGCUUGCGGCAGCCGCGUCGGCCACGGCCGACCUCGCCAACCUCUCCGUCGGGAACGUUGGGCAUGUCUUUGCAGAGGGGCGCAAGGCGGAGCCACAGCCUCGGCUGUGGGAACGUACCAGCUGCGAUGGGUGCUACAGGUCUGCACUGCAGUGCGGGCCUGCUGCACCUGUGCGAGUGACGAAAGUGCCUGUGGCGGCGUCGAUGCGGCACACCGCACCCUCUCUGCGAUGCUACUGGGCUGCGUGGUUCCCGGUGCUGGCCCACGUCGCGGAUCAGGUGGGGCCGCUACUCAGUGAAGCCGACUUUACGGAGAUGAUGCCGAUGCACACUGACCGCCCUUCUCUGCACGGCAGCGUUAUUAUGCAUUACAAAGCGCUGUCUUCGUGGCGACGAGGUGCCGAUUCUCUUGCCGCGACCCUUGGCGCCUUUUUGUGUGUCCGCGUGUUACACGGCGUGACCGUUGCCGUUAUUGUGCUCUCUCUUUGCUGCUACAGCUGCUCUCCGUCACCUUGCAAAUAGGCACCCCCGAAGCACAAGAAAAAAAACGAGAUACCAGACGAAGGCGAAACAGGGAGAUGAUGGCUGCGCUGCCUCACUCCACCGUCGCCAUGCACCGCGCCUCCACUACUUUCGGUGGUGACCUGCGUCUCUGCAGAUAUUUUACGCACUGCGUCGGUAGGCCGUUUU